CGACCCUCCGGGCACAGAGGGACAGCCAGCUGGAGAGGCCCAAGCAAGAAGAUCUGAUUUUUGCCUGCACUUACAGAGAGCCCUCCCCCGGCUGUCUUGGAAGUUGCUAUACACACCAGGCUGGUCUCAAACCCUGAGUUCCAUCUCCUCCUACCUCUGGUUCCUGAAUCCUGGGCUUAAAGGUGUGUGCCACCACGCUCAGCAAGAGAAGGUUUUCUUGAGGACAUGGGGAAGAUGUCAUUGUUGCGUGUCCUUGAGCAAGGUACCCGGCCUCUCUGAGCUUCCUUCUUCAUCCCACAGUAGGAUCUCCAAUUUUGAACCCAGAGCUCACUGAUCCCAGCUUCUCUAGCUGCUUGCUCUGAGGAACGCCCAGCUCCAUCUCUGACUGAUGGGGUUAUACAGCUGAACAGGACCAGUCCUUGGGGGUCUGUCUCCGAACAAAAAACGCGUUGCCUGGCUUGCUGUCGACAUAAUGCUAACACAGACCAGAGACAGAAGAUAGCUUGCUGUUCUCCAUCUGCCGCUUACUCAGCG
This is a non-coding RNA of Arvicanthis niloticus (Nile rat), 534 nucleotides long. NCBI's taxonomy places the organism in Eukaryota, Metazoa, Chordata, Mammalia, Rodentia, Muridae. The record is from RefSeq and is a predicted model, not a curated record.